This 503-nucleotide ribosomal RNA is filed under the name uncultured bacterium. RNAcentral describes it as "bacterial SSU rRNA". It matches the Rfam family "Bacterial small subunit ribosomal RNA", at positions 29 to 524 of the family's 1533-position model. The record is from RNAcentral.
AUUGAACGCUGGCGGAAUGCUUUACACAUGCAAGUCGGGCGGCAGCGCGGGGGCAACCCUGGCGGCGAGCGGCGAACGGGUGAGUAACACAUCGGAACGUACCCUGUCGUGGGGGAUAACGAAUCGAAAGAUUCGCUAAUACCGCAUACGACCUGAGGGUGAAAGCGGGGGAUCGCAAGACCUCGCGCGAGAGGAGCGGCCGAUGGCGGAUUAGCUAGUUGGUGGGGUAAAGGCCUACCAAGGCGAUGAUCGGUAGCUGGUCUGAGAGGAUGAUCAGCCACACGGGAACUGAGACACGGUCCCGACUCCUACGGGGGGGCAGCAGUGAGGAAUAUUGCACAAUGGGGGAAACCCUGAUGCAGCAACGCCGCGUGGAGGAUUGAAGAUCCUUGGAUUGUAAACUCCUUUUGUACAGAACGAAAAAGCUCUUUCUAAUACAGAGAGUCCAUGACGGUACUGUAAGAAUAAGCACCGGCUAACUACGUGCCAGCAGCCGCGGUAAU